Molecule: transfer RNA, 73 nt
Filed under: Ursus americanus (American black bear)
Lineage: Eukaryota; Metazoa; Chordata; Mammalia; Carnivora; Ursidae
Also listed under: 2 other names
Rfam family: tRNA
About the family: Transfer RNA (tRNA) molecules are approximately 80 nucleotides in length.
Source: Rfam by way of RNAcentral
GCCUGGCUGGCUUGGUUGGAAGAGCAUGUGACUUGUCAUCUCAGGGUUGUGGGUUCAAGCCCCACAUUGGGUA